AUAGAACAUCCCACAAUAGUGAGGUAUAUUCAACGCUGUUGGAAUUUAGAUACAGACUUUUUUCAUUUAGAAGGUUUCCCCGUUGCUGAUGCUGCAAAACUUGCAGUAUGGCCAUUGAAACUAAAUGAAACCAUUGAAGCUAUUGACGACUAUGAGAAACUUUCGACAGUUUUAGUAUUUGUUGAAGCAAUGAUAUGGGAUGAUUAUAUAAUUCCGAAUGGAAACGAUAGGGUUAAUUUGUGUAAUAUCAUUAGUAAAGCUAGAGACAUUCUUUGUAUACUAAAAAUAGAAAUUAAUGAUAACGAACUUUUAGGAAUUCCAGAACGAAAUGUCAUGAAAACUGAAUACAGACAAGGAGAUAGAACUCACAAACUUGGCAGAAAUUACUUAAUAUUUAAGGAUUCCAUCCGAUAUUUACAGUAUAUGGUGGACAAAUAUAUUAGAUUUAUUUUUUCAUGAAAUCUUUACAGAUGAUAUUUGAAAUUGCAAUUGUUUUUUGUAGUUCUAUUAUGUGUUAUAUAGCUGCCUCUUACACAGCUGUGGUAUUUGUAGUUUUAUGAUUUUAUUUUUCUAUUUAUUUAUUCUAAAAUUAUUCAGGUUUUAUGUGCAUUCCGUCACAUAUUUGUUCAGGUUAAUGUAACUUACAUUGGCAUUAAGUCAUUACUUAAAUGCGGUCAUUCACAAAUAUUUGGAUUUUAGAUAAGUUUUUUUUUAAAUUCUACAUUCCAGAGUGUUUAACUUACCUCAACUUACCUCAACUUACCAUGACUUUAUUCGAUUUAUCAACAUAUAUUUACAUCGAAUCAACUUUUUUUAAACUGGGACCACACAAGAAAAAGCAAUACUUUUACCCUUGUUACAAGUUAUUUUUACUGUAAGAGAGGAUAACCUGAAAGUUUAUGUAAUCUGAAAUCGAUCAAUUAGUUUUACAUAUUAUCAGAAAGAGUCAAAUAAUGACAAGAUAAUUAUUGAAAUAGCUUUUUGACCUUAAACAGGGAUUUGGAACCUAGAACACAUUUUUUAUGUUGUUUAAUGUCUUUAUUACUUGAUAUCAUGUUUUGAGUUUUAUUUUUUACUGACUAUAUAUUGUUAUCCAAUAAAAAUAGCAAUGUUGUA
Mytilus californianus (California mussel) is the source of this 1116-nucleotide long non-coding RNA. RefSeq lists it as uncharacterized. NCBI's taxonomy places the organism in Eukaryota, Metazoa, Mollusca, Bivalvia, Mytilida, Mytilidae. The record is from RefSeq and is a predicted model, not a curated record. The transcript has 2 exons.